Molecule: long non-coding RNA, 513 nt
Filed under: Brachypodium distachyon (stiff brome)
Lineage: Eukaryota; Viridiplantae; Streptophyta; Magnoliopsida; Poales; Poaceae
Description: long non-coding RNA (BDIS_LNC003473)
Source: RNAcentral
GCAGGAACAAAGACCUUCGUGGUCAGGUUGAUCGUGCCCCCGCGUGAUCAAUAACCCUCUGGAGUUGGUGUAUCCAUUGCUAAGGCGCUGCAUUCUAGGCGGUAGUCGGAUCGUCAACGUCAGCUCCUACCCAAAUCGAGAGUUAUCAAUCUAGACAGAUCGGGCCACCCCGACCCAUAUCACCCAUACUGUAAAUCUAGAAAAAUUCGGCAUGACCCGUGCUAUAAAGCUAGCGAAUUGGUCUACCCGAUAAUGAAACCUGCAUAAAAAUUACCCACCCACAUAUACUCCCUCGGCGUGAUGGCCGGCCCCUUAAAUUUCAACGGCCUCGGCACGAUGGCCGGGCCAAAAUCAAGCAUAUUCAAUUGUAUAAAAAAAAAAUACACUAAUCGCCCUAAUCCUUAACCCUACCGUCAUGCAUAUUCAUAUCCAUUAUAUGAUAUAUAUUCAAGCGAAUCCUUUGACCAACAAUGUGAGGCGUAUUAGUUUUCCUUUGACCAAUGCUUUGACCCG